This 253-nucleotide ribosomal RNA is filed under the name uncultured bacterium. RNAcentral's name for it is "partial 16S ribosomal RNA". It matches the Rfam family "Bacterial small subunit ribosomal RNA", at positions 524 to 776 of the family's 1533-position model. The record is from RNAcentral.
UACGGAGGGUGCAAGCGUUAAUCGGAAUUACUGGGCGUAAAGCGUGCGCAGGCGGUUUUGUAAGUCAGAUGUGAAAUCCCCCGGCUUAACCUGGGAACUGCGUCUGAUACUGGAAGGCUUGAAUGCGGGAGAGGGAUGUAGAAUUCCAGGUGUAGCGGUGAAAUGCGUAGAUAUCUGGAGGAAUACCGGUGGCGAAGGCGGCAUCCUGGACCGACAUUGACGCUGAGGCGCGAAAGCUAGGGUAGCAAACGGG